RNAcentral lists this ribosomal RNA (428 nucleotides) under uncultured bacterium. RNAcentral's name for it is "bacterial SSU rRNA". It matches the Rfam family "Bacterial small subunit ribosomal RNA", at positions 968 to 1397 of the family's 1533-position model. The record is from RNAcentral.
ACCUUACCAGGUCUUGACAUACUAUGCAAAUCUAAGAGAUUAGACGUUCCCUUCGGGGACAUGGAUACAGGUGGUGCAUGGUUGUCGUCAGCUCGUGUCGUGAGAUGUUGGGUUAAGUCCCGCAACGAGCGCAACCCUUAUUAUCAGUUGCCAGCAUUAAGUUGGGCACUCUGGUGAGACUGCCGGUGACAAACCGGAGGAAGGUGGGGAUGACGUCAAAUCAUCAUGCCCCUUAUGACCUGGGCUACACACGUGCUACAAUGGAUGGUACAACGAGUUGCGAACUCGCGAGAGCAAGCUAAUCUCUUAAAGCCAUUCUCAGUUCGGAUUGUAGGCUGCAACUCGCCUACAUGAAGUCGGAAUCGCUAGUAAUCGCGGAUCAGCAUGCCGCGGUGAAUACGUUCCCGGGCCUUGCACACACCGCCCGU